Molecule: long non-coding RNA, 1142 nt
Filed under: Sus scrofa (pig)
Lineage: Eukaryota; Metazoa; Chordata; Mammalia; Artiodactyla; Suidae
Description: lncRNA (ENSSSCG00070002753.1)
Source: RNAcentral
CUCACUUAAUUCCCUGGUUGACAUCACCACCGCCUCCAUCCUUUCCUUCUCGGCACUGCAGCCUGCAGCCUGGCGCAUCCUGGAAGAGAAGGCGGUGCAGGGCUCUUGCCAGGAGCUACCAGGGCGGUGCUGAUCCAGUGUGGUCAGUGGCACACGGAGGAUGCUAUGGGCUCAGCAGAGUGGUGAGUGACAGGGGUGACCAGAGACUGUGCUGUUCCUCCCUUUAGAGACGGACAGCAGGGGGGCGAAGCUCAGGUGCCAGGAGAGAGGCUCAGGACCCGGUCUGUGAUGGGAGGCUGCCUGAGCCUGGCCUGCCAGGGAGGCGGUGAGGGAAGUGGGUGGGGAGGGUGGGGAGAAGAGCCAACCCUUUGAACUGCCCCAAGAGCAGCCUCUGUGGCCCCAGGAGACAGCGCCUCAAAUGUCGCUGCCCCGGGCCAGGGAAGGGGGAAGAGGAGGUUUCUUAACACCAGUCACUUUUACUCUAGUUAUUUGACCAAAACGAAUUGUUCUUAGAAGGAAGAAGAAGAAGAAAAAAACAACAACAAACAAAAAACCAAAAAACCCACCACUGAGGUCACUUCUAUUACCCGAGCAGCUGAGGGAAAGAUCCUGCGAGCAGAUAACGUACCUGGGCCAGGGCUCUCCCCCAGCCCUCACCCCCUGCACAUAAUCUCGCCGCCUGGCCACCCUGCACCCAAACCCCAGCUGCUGCCUUGGCAUCCUGGAAGGUUCUAGAAGGCCGUUCCAAUCUUUUCCAGGAUCUCCUGGCACACACUGCUGGGUCCUGGGUACAUUUAUUGUCCUAUCUCCUUGACAGCAGCUCCAGGCCUCAGGAGGGAAUACCUGCACCAUCCAUACAUGAUCCCUUUACCUCAGUGCUUCUCAGCUGGACACAGUUUUGCCCCCAGGGAGCAUUUGGCUGAAGAUAAUUUUGGUUGUCACAGGUGGGAGGUGGCACCGCUGGCAUCUAGUAGACAUGAGAGAUGGUGCUGAACAUGUUCCAGGGCCCAGGACAGCCCCCACAACGAAGAAAUAUCCAGCCCCCAAUGUCAAGACUGUCACAGUUGAGAAACUUUGAUUUAAACAAAUCCACAGAUUAAGGAUUAAAAUAAUGGCCAAAAUAGAGGCAGUGGCUCAUGCAG